This 536-nucleotide ribosomal RNA is filed under the name Staphylococcus simulans. RNAcentral describes it as "bacterial SSU rRNA". It matches the Rfam family "Bacterial small subunit ribosomal RNA", at positions 8 to 526 of the family's 1533-position model. Lineage: Bacteria; Bacillati; Bacillota; Bacilli; Caryophanales; Staphylococcaceae. The record is from RNAcentral.
AGAGUUUGAUCAUGGCUCAGGAUGAACGCUGGCGGCGUGCCUAAUACAUGCAAGUCGAGCGAACAGACGAGGAGCUUGCUCCUCUGACGUUAGCGGCGGACGGGUGAGUAACACGUGGGUAACCUACCUAUAAGACUGGGAUAACUCCGGGAAACCGGGGCUAAUACCGGAUAACACAUGAAACCGCAUGGUUUCAUGAUGAAAGACGGUUUUGCUGUCACUUAUAGAUGGACCCGCGGCGUAUUAGCUAGUUGGUAAGGUAACGGCUUACCAAGGCAACGAUACGUAGCCGACCUGAGAGGGUGAUCGGCCACACUGGAACUGAGACACGGUCCAGACUCCUACGGGAGGCAGCAGUAGGGAAUCUUCCGCAAUGGGCGAAAGCCUGACGGAGCAACGCCGCGUGAGUGAUGAAGGUCUUCGGAUCGUAAAACUCUGUUAUUAGGGAAGAACAAGGAUGUAAGUAACUGUGCAUCCCUUGACGGUACCUAAUCAGAAAGCCACGGCUAACUACGUGCCAGCAGCCGCGGUAAUAC